AGACCCGAAACCCGGUGAUCUAGCCAUGGGCAGGUUGAAGGUUGGGUAACACUAACUGGAGGACCGAACCGACUAAUGUUGAAAAAUUAGCGGAUGACCUGUGGCUGGGGGUGAAAGGCCAAUCAAACCGGGAGAUAGCUGGUUCUCCCCGAAAGCUAUUUAGGUAGCGCCUCGUGAAUUCAUCUCCGGGGGUAGAGCACUGUUUCGGCUAGGGGGCCAUCCCGGCUUACCAACCCGAUGCAAACUGCGAAUACCGGAGAAUGUUAUCACGGGAGACACACGGCGGGUGCUAACGUCCGUCGUGAAGAGGGAAACAACCCAGACCGCCAGCUAAGGUCCCAAAGUCAUGGUUAAGUGGGAAACGAUGUGGGAAGGCCCAGACAGCCAGGAUGUUGGCUUAGAAGCAGCCAUCAUUUAAAGAAAGCGUAAUAGCUCACUGGUCGAGUCGGCCUGCGCGGAAGAUGUAACGGGGCUAAACCAUGCACCGAAGCUGCGGCAGCGACGCUUAUGCGUUGUUGGGUAGGGGAGCGUUCUGUAAGCCUGUGAAGGUGGCCUGUGAGGGUUGCUGGAGGUAUCAGAAGUGCGAAUGCUGACAUAAGUAACGAUAAA
This 609-nucleotide ribosomal RNA is filed under the name Salmonella enterica. RNAcentral describes it as "partial 23S ribosomal RNA". It matches the Rfam family "Bacterial large subunit ribosomal RNA", at positions 711 to 1316 of the family's 2925-position model. RNAcentral also lists the same sequence under 1 other name. The record is from RNAcentral. Lineage: Bacteria; Pseudomonadati; Pseudomonadota; Gammaproteobacteria; Enterobacterales; Enterobacteriaceae.